GAUGAACGCUGGCGGCGUGCUUAACACAUGCAAGUCGAACGGAAAGGCUCCUGCUUGCAGGGGUACUCGAGUGGCGAACGGGUGAGUAACACGUGGGUGAUCUGCCCUGCACUUCGGGAUAAGCCUGGGAAACUGGGUCUAAUACCGGAUAGGACGAUGGUUUGGAUGCCAUUGUGGAAAGUUUUUUCGGUGUGGGAUGAGCUCGCGGCCUAUCAGCUUGUUGGUGGGGUAAUGGCCUACCAAGGCGUCGACGGGUCGCCGGCCUGAGAGGGUGUACGGCCACAUUGGGACUGAGAUACGGCCCAGACUCCUACGGGAGGCAGCAGUGGGGAAUAUUGCACAAUGGGCGCAAGCCUGAUGCAGCGACGCCGCGUGGGGGAUGACGGCCUUCGGGUUGUAAACUCCUUUCGCUAGGGACGAAGCGCAAGUGACGGUACCUGGAGAAGAAGCACCGGCUAACUACGUG
This 466-nucleotide ribosomal RNA is filed under the name uncultured bacterium. RNAcentral describes it as "partial 16S ribosomal RNA". It matches the Rfam family "Bacterial small subunit ribosomal RNA", at positions 28 to 507 of the family's 1533-position model. The record is from RNAcentral.